UCAAAUCUAGUAGCAUAGAUUUGGACAGAGUUGUUCUCAACACAGGCAAGAUGUUUCACACUUUAACAGCUGUAUUUCUCUUAGUGUUAAUGAGCGUCACCACGACAAGCGGUUGCAGACAAUGUGCAGUCAAUGGACAGCAAUAUAGGGGAAAUUCCCGAUUUCAGUUUACACAAGGCUGUUCGCGUUAUAAUUGCGUGUGUAACUGUGAUGGUAGUUGGAACUGCCCUGCUCAGGAUACAACAAACAUCUGUUCUGGAUCAAACAUAAACAAUGGUGGGUCUAGUUCGAACUGCAGAACUUGUCGAGUUAGAGGACAAACGUACACUGGAAACAGUCGUUUCCAAUAUAACAGUGGCUGUUACCGGUUUAACUGUGACUGCAACUGUGAUGGAAGUUGGAAUUGUCCGUCUAGCAGGACACAAAACAUUUGCUAAUAAGUAUGUUUUGUCAUUUAAUUGCAUUUGAUUCAACGUAAAUAUAAUUUUGAAUAAAUGCUGAUCUUGAA
This is a long non-coding RNA of Mytilus californianus (California mussel), 508 nucleotides long. RefSeq lists it as uncharacterized. Lineage: Eukaryota; Metazoa; Mollusca; Bivalvia; Mytilida; Mytilidae. The transcript is spliced from 2 exons. The record is from RefSeq and is a predicted model, not a curated record.